UGAAUCCUACGGGGGGCAGCAGUGGGGAAUAUUGCACAAUGGGGGAAACCAUGAUGCAGCAACGCCGCGUGAAGGAAGACGGUUUUCGGAUUGUAAACUUCUGUUCUUAGUGAAGAAUAAUGACGGUAGCUAAGGAGCAAGCCACGGCUAACUACGUGCCAGCAGCCGCGGUAAUACGUAGGUGGCAAGCGUUGUCCGGAAUUACUGUGUGUAAAGGGAGCGCAGGCGGGAAGCCAAGUCAGCUGUGAAAACUACGGGC
This 259-nucleotide ribosomal RNA is filed under the name uncultured bacterium. RNAcentral describes it as "partial 16S ribosomal RNA". It matches the Rfam family "Bacterial small subunit ribosomal RNA", at positions 333 to 608 of the family's 1533-position model. The record is from RNAcentral.